RNAcentral lists this small RNA (54 nucleotides) under [Limnothrix rosea] IAM M-220. Its description in RNAcentral is "Oscillatoria rosea IAM M-220 Nitrogen stress-induced RNA 1". It matches the Rfam family "Nitrogen stress-induced RNA 1". Lineage: Bacteria; Bacillati; Cyanobacteriota; Cyanophyceae; Chroococcales; Geminocystaceae. The record is from Rfam by way of RNAcentral.
UGGUAGAUGCACCCUGGUUUUGGCCUCAGAGACUUGUUUCUGAGGCUUUUUCAU